UAGGGAAUAUUGGUCAAUGGAUGGAAGUCUGAACCAGCCAUGCCGCGUGCAGGAAGAAGGCCUUCUGGGUUGUAAACUGCUUUUGCCAGGGGAUAAAAAUUCUUUGCGAAGAAAAUUGAAGGUACCUGGUGAAUAAGCACCGGCUAACUACGUGCCAGCAGCCGCGGUAAUACGUAGGGUGCAAGCGUUGUCCGGAUUUAUUGGGUUUAAAGGGUGCGUAGGCGGCCUUGUAAGUCAGUGGUGAAAUACUCCAGCUUAACUGGAGGGGUGCCAUUGAUACUGCAGGGCUUGAGUUAAGUUGAAGUUGGCGGAAUUGACGGUGUAGCGGUGAAAUGCUUAGAUAUCGUCAAGAACACCGAUAGUGAAGACAGCUAACUAAACUUUUACUGACGCUGAGGCACGAAAGUGUGGGGAUCAAACAGGAUUAGAUACCCUGGUAGUCCACACUGUAAACGUUGAAGACUCGCUGUGUGCGAUAUACAGUACGCGGCUUAGAGAAAUCGUUAAGUCUUCCACCUGGGGAGUACGCCGGCAACGGUG
Molecule: ribosomal RNA, 540 nt
Filed under: uncultured bacterium
Lineage: Bacteria
Description: bacterial SSU rRNA
Rfam family: Bacterial small subunit ribosomal RNA
Source: RNAcentral